Trichonephila clavata is the source of this 73-nucleotide non-coding RNA. The record is from the annotation of a GenBank genome assembly. NCBI's taxonomy places the organism in Eukaryota, Metazoa, Arthropoda, Arachnida, Araneae, Nephilidae.
AUCCCUGUAGCACAUUGGAUAUCGCGUUGGACUUCUAAUCCAAAGGUCAUGGGUUCGAUUCCCAUCUGGAAUG